GAUCCAAAUGUAAGCAGAAAGCGUGACGGCGGCGCUCGUUAAUCGUCGUGUUUUUCUGCGAUCUUAACUCUUGCAUCGCUUUUUCACUCCAUACCAUUGGGCCAACAAACUUCUUGUCUUCAGUCAUGCAAGACUAUUACUGGACUCCUACUGGACAUCCUGGGAUUCCCAUGGAGCAGUGACUGGCUGUUGCGGUGUUGAAAUAUUUAUCAAUUUAAUGCAGUUUCAUUCCUUUUGUCACUGUGGUUGAUUUGUAAUAUGAAUCUUUCUAGGAAAUGCCUCGAGUCUGCCCCAAGCAGACUGCUGUUUGCUGUAGAUUUGUUUUCCCCCAUUUGCUGCCGUUUGCACCUGAUUAUUGAUUCAUUAAUAUUGCAGUGUGGCAAAUUUGGAAAAGUGACAUUUUUGGGACAUAUUCUUGAAUGGUUAGCAUCUUUUGUAAUCAUCCCCAACCCUUCAUUUCAAAUGCAUUAACACUAUUUAUUUAUAUAUUUUCCCUUAUUUGGAUCAAGUUUGUUCAAAUUACUGCUAAGGUAGUUGAUAUUUGUAUAGUAGCUUGUUUGAUUUCUGUACAUGGUCCAUUAGAUCAACACUGUCAACAAUUUGUUUAAUGGAUCAACAAAGUUUUUAAUAAAUGUUUCACAUUA
RNAcentral lists this long non-coding RNA (644 nucleotides) under Danio rerio (zebrafish). RNAcentral's name for it is "lncRNA si:ch211-128n12.5 (ENSDARG00000099831.2)". Lineage: Eukaryota; Metazoa; Chordata; Actinopteri; Cypriniformes; Danionidae. The record is from RNAcentral.